RNAcentral lists this ribosomal RNA (473 nucleotides) under uncultured organism. RNAcentral's name for it is "partial 16S ribosomal RNA". It matches the Rfam family "Bacterial small subunit ribosomal RNA", at positions 335 to 799 of the family's 1533-position model. The record is from RNAcentral.
ACUCCUGCGGGAGGCAGCAGUGGGGAAUAUUGCACAAUGGGCGCAAGCCUGAUGCAGCCAUGCCGCGUGUAUGAAGAAGGCCUUCGGGUUGUAAAGUACUUUCAGCGGGGAGGAAGGCGAUAAGGUUAAUAACCUUGUCGAUUGACGUUACCCGCAGAAGAAGCACCGGCUAACUCCGUGCCAGCAGCCGCGGUAAUACGGAGGGUGCAAGCGUUAAUCGGAAUUACUGGGCGUAAAGCGCACGCAGGCGGUCUGUCAAGUCGGAUGUGAAAUCCCCGGGCUCAACCUGGGAACUGCAUUCGAAACUGGCAGGCUAGAGUCUUGUAGAGGGGGGUAGAAUUCCAGGUGUAGCGGUGAAAUGCGUAGAGAUCUGGAGGAAUACCGGUGGCGAAGGCGGCCCCCUGGACAAAGACUGACGCUCAGGUGCGAAAGCGUGGGGAGCAAACAGGAUUAGAAACCCCUGUAGUCCCAUG